Molecule: unclassified non-coding RNA, 788 nt
Filed under: Hevea brasiliensis (rubber tree)
Lineage: Eukaryota; Viridiplantae; Streptophyta; Magnoliopsida; Malpighiales; Euphorbiaceae
Source: RNAcentral
GCUACUCUUUUUUUCGUAUCUUUGCCUUUUUCACUAAACAUGAGUUUCUUACCGUUUUCUUUAUGACCAUUCUUUCCAUAACCUCCCAUUCAAACCAAAUCUUGUAUAUUUGGAUCAGCGACCUUACGUUCAUCGGUUGGCCCACUUGAAAUGGUCUGCCUAUCAAAGGGAUUUCCUCCAAAAUAUUUUCAAGGGAAGAAUUCCAACAACAAUUAGUGAAAAAUCUGCUACUGCGGGAUAUGCAAGCACCUGUUUUUGUGGACUACCUGACGACUUGUUAUGCAAGACUACAUGUUCAAGUAAUUUAUGCACGACUACCUAUUCAAGUAAUGAGAAAAUAGCAUGAACACUAUUUAACUACCUCUUUACCUUCAGAUAGGCAAGAGGAUACUACACCAAUCAAUUCUUGUAGAGACGUUUUAUUCUUCACUUCAUUUCAGUCUCAAUAUUUGAUAUCUCGCUACCAUCUGUACAAAGAGCUUCUCCUUCUUUCUCUUCACUUGGUGUUUGUCCCUUACGACCAGCUUCAUCUAGAAUCUUAUCAAGCAUUAUAUCCUGAAGAUAUUCAUUUUUACAGAGCAACAUAUUAUUGCGUCACUAUGGUGCCACAGUUCUUUCAGAACAGCAUCACUAGCUUGAGAAUCAACCUGGAACAGGUCUCCUCCUGUAUGCACCCAGUUGGAAGUUCGAAGUACAAGAAAGAGCAAACUGAAAGAAUGAGAAAUUGUUGAUGCUUCAGAUUGAAAAUCCGACGUACGUAGCCAUUGAAGGAGGCCUGCUGAUGCUUG